AAAUUGUUUUCCUGCCUUGAAGAUUAAGUUAUGAAGAGAAAUGUACCCAGUCCAAAAAAGAUCCUAAACCUAAGAGGUUUUUGAGGUCAAAAAGAUCUCAGGGAUUUUCCGGCCAAUAAAGGUGCAUUGGAGAGGAAGAAAUGGCUAUUUUUCAUUUAGAAGCAGGAAGCACUGAAGGGGGUUCUCAGAUGCCCACAGGGAACCAAUCUGGAGAGAGAUGAUUUCCUGGCUUAUUGAAAUUAAGACUCAAUCUUGUUGCUAAGCAAGGGUCCAAGAGUUCAGAGAAAGCAGCCAUCAUCUUCAUGGGCAGAAAUGGAAAGGGCAUAGGAGAAAGAGAACCAAGGACUCUGCUUCUCAACUUCUCUCUGAAUCGGAGUUUAUCUAUAAUAGCAAGAAAGUAGGUUCAGCAGUAAUAAAUCAAUGAUGCUAACAGUAACUGUAACCUCAGGGCAAUGCUCAAGAGCUACUUUAUAGCAUCUUUUCAUUCUGGAGCAGUCCUUUCCUGAUAGGUGAGCAUACCCGGCAAAACUGUAGGUUGUGGCAUCCCCAGUACCCAGAUUCAGCAGCUGCAUCCCUGCAGAGUGACGUGUGAUGAGUCAGACAAAUAGUUCAAGAGUAAGCACUACGGUAGGGGGGUUCAGAGAAGCAACUGCAUGGCUGGGUGUGGAUGGACUAGGAGUGUGUGGUGAAUCUGGAUCUCAGUUUGCACCUCUGCUAAGAAGGGAUGAAGACCACCUUGCUAGCAUGGUGUUUGUAAGGAUGAAAUGAACUAAUACAUGUGUUUUGUCUCCUAAUAGGACUGUAAUGCAGAGCUGAUGCUUUUUUAUUUUUGGAGUUGUUGGGGUGGGGGAAGGGGAUUCCUCUCUGUCUUGGGGGAAGAGAGAAACCUCAUCUUCAUGUGCUAGAUCAUGGCCUUUUCUUAACCUAGUUCAACACUGAGCCGUCACUUUUCUUGCAUAAAGUUCAAUAAUAGCAUGAGCAUGCUAGCUACAUGCAAAGCUUUUAGUCUUUUUUCUCAAUCCCCUGAACUCAACCUAGCUCAACGCUAAAAAACAUUAAGCGUUUUCUAAAACCAAAUAAAUGUGAAUGUGCUUCUAAAUAAAACCCUCUGCUGCAAAAAUCAGAAGGUUCCUCUUACUGGAUAAGGACAUGAAGGAAAGAAGAAUCCAUUUAGAGGAUGUUCUGCAGAAAUGGAUGAUAAAAAUGGUUUCUUUGGGAGCAGCAGUUUAGUUACAGUGAUUGGGUGGAAUUGGGGCUUGCAACUCUUAAGAGUUUCUCAGCCUUUAGCCAGGACUGAUUGGCUGAUUUCCAGAAAGAAGAUAAUUUGCCUAAGAGAUAAUUUCUCAUUGGUCAGUCAACUCCAAAUGACUGAAAAUCAUGUGUUCUUUCUUUUGUGUAUUUUUUCUUCUUUCUUUUUCAGAAAUAUCUAUCAAACUUUGGUUCAUUUUCCACUAUCCUUUGGACCCCUGCCAAUAAUGGCUGCUAUAGGAAGCCUAUUAAACAUAACUGCUAACGUUACUUUUUUUUUUUUUAA
Molecule: long non-coding RNA, 1534 nt
Organism: Cercocebus atys (sooty mangabey)
Lineage: Eukaryota; Metazoa; Chordata; Mammalia; Primates; Cercopithecidae
Exons: 2
Source: RefSeq, a predicted model, not a curated record